GUCAGAGGAUCUCGUUCCCCCAACCAAACCCUAACCCGGCAGAGGCGGCAGCAGCACAUCCCACGGCCCCGCGCAUCCCUUCCCUGCGCGCCGCUCCGUCGACAACCUCCUUCGAGCUCCACCGACGACCUCCUCCUCGCCUUCUUCCGGGCCAAGACGGUCGAGAGAACUACCACUUCCCACCGCGCAAGGAAGGCGUGGAUUCAAUUUCUCGCGGACAGACGGACGGACGAGCAAGCGGCGCCGCGAGGAAGGAAAAGCCACCGACGCCCGCGCGGCGGAGGAGUGUGGAGCGGCCUCGGCGGCGGCUGCUGCGAUGGGGCUGCUUUCCAACUGGGUGGAGCGGUCGGACAUCUACACAUGGAGGGCCGUCUACGCAUACACCCACCACGAUGCCAGGCUCGUGAGGAAACCCAAGGCCACGGUUGCUCAACCACCAGUCGCAGGAACCCACCGAAGACGUACAACUUUGAAGCAUCUGAUGCUCACAAUGAGCUGGCAGUGGUCGAUUAUUUCAAAGACAUUUACAGGUUCUACAACAGGACUGAGUUCUUCUCUAUGUUGGCUGGAUUUAAUUCUGAGUUGAUUCCCAAAGGAAGUGAGAAGGAUGACCAAGCGAAGAAUAAGCGUUAUAUGAGUGAUAAGAGCCAGAAGCAGACCACAAAAUGUAGAGCAGAUGGUUGGCAUCCCUGCCUUGCACGCCCUCAUGAAGCUUUGACACGUUCUGCAUGUGCAUGGUUUUCACUUCCAGUGCCUCCUACUAGGGACUCUAAUGGAACCAAGGAUGAAAUUCCCUAGGUACCAAGGACUGCUCCUGCUCUUGAACUUGCUGACAUUGAUAUAGCAAUGGUAAUUACUGGCACUUAGGUGGACUAAAAUUUAGAUCUGGAAGCACCAUUGUUGUUCAGGCGCGACCUCGACGACCUUGGGACGUGGCGACAAGCGAGGAAGUAGUGCUUGGCCUGCAACUGACGUCCUUGUGAUCUCCUGGCCCUAGCCCUGGCACCUCAUGGCGAAGCCCUGGACGAGCUUCUGGCUAGGGAAUGGCGGCUGGCUUCAGGGAACUUGAGUGCAGCUGGGUGACACCCGCUAAUGAUCGACCUGGAGGUGAACAAGCUCGCCGGAUCGAUCAGACCUGGAGUGCAGCUGGGGACGAUCCAGUGAAUUGAUCGGACCAGGAGUGCAGCUGGGCGACGACCGACGAUCCAGUGGAUCGAUCAGGCCUGGAGUGAAGUUGGGCGACGAGCCUGUGGAUCGAUCGGGGCGAUCGGAGCUGGAUGCGCGCGCGUGGAUCGUGUGGCGAGCUGGGCCACGUGUGCGCAUGGAUGGGGAGGAACGAGUCUCCCUGGGGGAGGAGGAGAUGGCCGGGGGAGGAUCGAUUCCGGUGGAGAUGAGAAGCUGGCCGGUGGCGGAUUGAUUCCGGUGGCGGACGAUGGGGAAUCGAGAUCUGGAUUCGAAUUGUAGAUAGGGGUAUCGAUGUCUUUUUGUAGCGUUUUCACCUGGUCGGAACAGCUCCCCGACGUCUUAUAUUUCUAGACGGAGGGAGUAAUUAAUUAAUUAAUGAUCUCUCCAAGACCAAAUCCGGCCCAACGCGCCACCUCUCCUCCCGAAACCAAACCCACUCCCUUCCCAAUCCUCCCACCCAACCAAACCCUAACCCUAACCCGGCAGAGGCGGUGGCGCCCCCCACCCAGGCAGCAGCAGAUCCCACGGCCCCGCGCCGGGCUUUCUCGCCGGCGCGGGCGUGCAUCCCUUCCCUACGUGCCGCUCCGUCCAGCUCGCCUCGCUGCGGCGUCGCGCGUCUGGCCCUGCCGAACCCAACCAGGACGUAUGCGGCGACGAUCCAUCCGCAGCAACAACCUGACCAAGUCCUUGCCGCCGCUGCUGCUCUUCCUCGCGGCCUGAGUUUGCCGGCUCACGCGCCCCAUCCGUGCUCACGACCAGGAUCUCUCACACUCCAAUCAUGCUUCUACAGUAAGUACACCGGGGUUGCUGUUUCGGUGCUGCUGUCUACUGCCGUCCACGUCAUGCCGCUGCCGGUGUGCUCCCAAGGUCCAUUUUCCUCAGGUCACUGUCCAUUCCCGUCGCCGGCGCCCUCUGCUAGGUGCUGCGGUGGCGUUGCUCUCCACCAGGGCUACUGCUAGGUGCUACUACAUUCUUCAACUCGGACCUCCACCACAGCACCGCGUCCCACAAUCCGGACAACAAAAUCCGAGGUUAUGUUCAUGUACCGGUGGUGGUGCCUGCUGCUGCUGCUGAUGCCGUUGUGUCACCCAGCUGCCCCAGUUUUCUUCGAUUGGGACCUCCUACAGUACCGUGUUCCCGCUCGGUCACUGUCCUUUUCCGGUGGUGUUGCCCUCCGGUGGUGCUGUAGUACCGUGGUGGUGGUGUUCUGCAAAUGCUCCUGCUGGUGCUGCCUGCAUCCACUAAUGGCUGUUGCUCCUGGCUUCUUCGACUGGGUCUAUCGUACAGCGCCAUCCCCCCCAAAGAUCUCUCCUUCUCUCACCGUUUCUCUCUAUUUUCCUUGAACUGCGCCAUGUAUGUUUGCGUAGAAGUGAGGUUUGAUUUUCUUUUUACUACCUUGUUAGUCUGUGGUGAUGAUAAAUGUCUGAAUAUCUAUUCCUUUGUUGUAUGUGUGUUGCUUCCAGAGCAAAACAAUGCUAUAUUCCUUCGUUGCUAUUGACUGGCAUGCCUUGAUUGGUCUGGUUCUCACUAGACACUGUGCUCUGUUUUGGUCUUGUUGACUUGAUUAGGUUAUCUCUCUAGUAGAUUGGCUACUGUUUUUGGUUUAAUUUAUGCAUUAAAAGCAUUGUAAGGUUCAACUGAUUGAUUUGUAGCACAAUAUCGAUGAUUUGCUCAAAUACUAGACCUGGAUAGGUUUGCUAGCUCUUUACUUGUUUUGUUGGAGUAAAAUGAUUGUUCUUUAGCAGCAGCGAAGCAAACAAAGUUUACAUAUUUCAAAAGGGUUUAUUUGUUGCCAAUCACGUGGUUUCUUUUAAUACACGGGUUUUUGGAGUAAUCAAAUCAUUUGACAAGUUCCAACCUAUUUAUGCUUGUAUGAAUUCAAACUUGUCUAGACUGAUGUGUUGCUCUUGUUGGAUAAUACUAGCUGAUUAUUAAUCAACUACUUGUUGUACUACUACUAUUUAACAUCUUAUUUUGCAGCUAGAUUAAUUAAGUAACCGUGUGGAGAUAGAUUUCUCCCAUCUAUUUUUUUUGUAGAACCAUUGGUAGCACAUGCCUGUGAGGCUGUAAGUAAGUGGAUGAAAAGCAUUAGCAUGCAGAUUUUGUACACGAUACCGCUAUUUGCACAUCUAGUUUAUUUGCAAUUCUGAAUUGAUGGUUCAGUUAUGCUCAGGUUACGUUCCUGUAACGGUGGUGCCCUCUGGUUGUGCUGGUGCUGCUGGCGUCUGCGUCGCCGAGCUGCCCCUGUUUUCUUCGACUGUGGUGGUGCUGCUGCUGGCACGGCUUCUUUAGCCCGGAUGUGCCCCUGGUCUGCGUAGUUGGUGGUCUCGCUUGCCGACGGGUCGGUGCCUCUCCUCCUCCUACUGAGACAACAUCGGCAAAUAGAUGGCUCAGGGUUUCUGUUUGCUGGUUGCACUUAAUGGAGCUGAUCUGGACUACUAUAUCAAAGUGGUCAAUUUGUUGUGAGUCAACGCAAUGCUGGCUUAUAAUGAUGCAUGAAUUCUAUUGUUUCUUGUUUCAAAUGCCUGCCGCUGCUUAUCUUGAAACAUUGAUUGCUUUGCUGACCAUUCCAUUUUUUGUUUGUUUUGAGGAUGAGUACUAAAUGGCAACGGUGGCCUUCUUCUUUGACCACAUGAGGUUUGGUAGCAGCUGGGGCCAGAUGCAUCUCUUGGAAGCAAGCUGGCUGGAAAGACCUUGGGGACAAGGAUAUGUCACCAAGCGAUGUCUCUUGGUCCCGAUUCCCGAAGCAGCAGCUGGGCUCCUAGCAAGCAUCUUGAUUAGCUUGAUGUAUAUGGUCGCAAUGCAUGGGCAACCUGAUGCAUGUGUUGUUUUGCUGAUCGUCCCAAGACUGAAUUGUAUGAGAUGUGCUGUAUGCACCUCAUCUUUGUUCAUAUGAAUUGUUUGCUGUGUGAUCUGGGUGUCCGAAAAACCAAGAAGGUCAAUCCAAAAAAUUUAAUUUUCUGUGAUCUCAA
Non-coding RNA from Lolium perenne, 4157 nucleotides. Lineage: Eukaryota; Viridiplantae; Streptophyta; Magnoliopsida; Poales; Poaceae. The record is from RefSeq and is a predicted model, not a curated record.